AGUGAACGCUGGCGGCAUGCCUAACACAUGCAAGUCGAACGGCAGCACAGUAAGAGCUUUCUCGUACGGCUGGCGAGUGGCGGGUGGGUGAGCAAUACAUCGCCUUCUACUUUGUCGUGGGGGACAACGUAGGGAAACAUACGCUAAUACCUCAUACGACCUACGGGGUAGACCUGCGGAUCUUCCGAGCUUGCGCGACUGCAUGUGCCGAUGUCGGAUUAGCUAGUUGGCGGGGUAAAGGCCCACCAAGGCGACGAUCCGUAGCUGGUCUGAGAGGAUGAUCAGCCACACUGGAACUGAGACACGGUCCAGACUCCUACGGGAGGCAGCAGUGGGGAAUAUUGGACAAAGGGCGCAAGCCUGAUCCAGCUAUGCCGCGUGAGUGAAGAAGGCCUUCGGGUUGUAAAGCCCUUUUGUUGGGAAAGAAAAGCAGCAGGUUAAUACCCCGGUGUUCUGACGGUACCCAAAGAAUAAGCACCGGCUAACUACGUG
This 492-nucleotide ribosomal RNA is filed under the name uncultured bacterium. RNAcentral's name for it is "partial 16S ribosomal RNA". It matches the Rfam family "Bacterial small subunit ribosomal RNA", at positions 29 to 507 of the family's 1533-position model. The record is from RNAcentral.